Molecule: transfer RNA, 66 nt
Filed under: Ectomocoris horridus
Lineage: Eukaryota; Metazoa; Arthropoda; Insecta; Hemiptera; Reduviidae
Description: tRNA-Phe
Source: RNAcentral
GUUUAGGUAGCUUAAGUUUAAAAGCUUAGUAUUGAAGUUACUAUAAUAGGUUUUACCUCCUAAAUA